GACGAACGCUGGCGGCGUGCUUAACACAUGCAAGUCGAACGGAAAGGCCUGCUUUCCCUCGUGGAUUGCGGGUACUCGAGUGGCGAACGGGUGAGUAACACGUGAGUGAUCUGCCCCCAACUUGGGUAUAAGCCUGGGAAACUGGGUCUAAUUCCCGAUAGGACUGCAGGGUGGUGCCUGUGGUGGAAAACGAUUUUCUAGUGGUUGGGGAUGAGCUCGCGGCCUAUCAGCUUGUUGGUGGGGUAAUGGCCUACCAAGGCGGCGACGGGUAGCCGGCCUGAGAGGGUGGACGGCCACAUUGGGACUGAGAUACGGCCCAGACUCCGACGGGAGGCAGCAGUGGGGAAUAUUGCACAAUGGGCGGAAGCCUGAUGCAGCGACGCAGCGUGGGGGAUGACGGCCUUCGGGUUGUAAACUCCUUUCGACCGCGAGGAAGCCACCUGGUUGGAAGGGUGGUGACGGUAGUGGUAGAAGAAGCACCGGCUAACUACGUG
This 494-nucleotide ribosomal RNA is filed under the name uncultured bacterium. RNAcentral describes it as "partial 16S ribosomal RNA". It matches the Rfam family "Bacterial small subunit ribosomal RNA", at positions 28 to 507 of the family's 1533-position model. The record is from RNAcentral.